UACGGAGGGUGCAAACGUUGCUCGGAAUCAUUGGGCGUAAAGCGCACGUAGGCGGUCCAGCAAGUCGGAUGUGAAAUCCCUCGGCUUAACUGAGGAAGUGCAUUCGGAACUGCUGGACUUGAAUAUGGAAGAGGCGAGUGGAAUUCCUGGUGUAGCGGUGAAAUGCGCAGAUAUCAGGAGGAACACCAAUUGCGAAGGCAGCUCGCUGGGACGUAACUGACGCUGAGACGCGAAAGCGUGGGGAGCAAACAGG
RNAcentral lists this ribosomal RNA (253 nucleotides) under uncultured bacterium. RNAcentral's name for it is "partial 16S ribosomal RNA". It matches the Rfam family "Bacterial small subunit ribosomal RNA", at positions 524 to 776 of the family's 1533-position model. The record is from RNAcentral.